Long non-coding RNA from Hibiscus syriacus, 150 nucleotides. RefSeq lists it as uncharacterized. The transcript is spliced from 3 exons. The record is from RefSeq and is a predicted model, not a curated record. Lineage: Eukaryota; Viridiplantae; Streptophyta; Magnoliopsida; Malvales; Malvaceae.
CCAAUUUCAGGACCCUUGAGGCCUGAGAAAUAUGCAAAAUCAUAAGGCAACAUAUUGACAGAAGUCCAACACAACUUUUAACUUCAAAUUCAAAACAAUCAAUUCAUGUGUAUAGUAAUUGCACCCAAAACUAAAACUAACCCUGAUCAU